Molecule: unclassified non-coding RNA, 329 nt
Filed under: soil metagenome
Description: partial contains 5.8S ribosomal RNA, internal transcribed spacer 2, and large subunit ribosomal RNA
Rfam family: 5.8S ribosomal RNA (bases 1-120)
Source: RNAcentral
GAUGAAGAACGCAGCGAAAUGCGAUAAGUAGUGUGAAUUGCAGAAUUCAGUGAAUCAUCGAAUCUUUGAACGCACAUUGCGCCCCUUGGUAUCCCGAGGGGCAUGCCUGUUCGAGCGUCAUUUCACCACUCAAGCCUGGCUUGGUGUUGGGCGACGUCCUCUUUGGGGACGCGCCUCGAAACGCUCGGCGGCGUGGCACCGGCUUUAAGCGUAGCAGAAUCUUUCGCUUUGGAAGUCGGGGCCCCGUCUGCCGGAAGACCUGCUCGCAAGGUUGACCUCGGAUCAGGCAGGGAUACCCGCUGAACUUAAGCAUAACAAUAAGCGGAGGA